This 253-nucleotide ribosomal RNA is filed under the name uncultured bacterium. RNAcentral's name for it is "partial 16S ribosomal RNA". It matches the Rfam family "Bacterial small subunit ribosomal RNA", at positions 524 to 776 of the family's 1533-position model. The record is from RNAcentral.
UACAGAGGUCCCAAGCGUUGUUCGGAUUCACUGGGCGUAAAGGGUGCGUAGGCGGUCGGGUAAGUCUGAUGUGAAAUCUCACAGCUUAACUGUGAAACUGCAUUGGAUACUAUCCGGCUCGAGGAAUGGAGGGGAGACUGGAAUACUUGGUGUAGCAGUGAAAUGCGUAGAUAUCAGGAGGAACACCGAUGGCGAAGGCAGGUCUCUGGGCUGACACUGACGCUCAUGCACGAAAGCGUGGGGAGCAAACAGG